GUGAGGAAUAUUGGUCAAUGGGCGGGAGCCUGAACCAGCCAAGUCGCGUGAAGGAAGAAGGAUCUAUGGUUCGUAAACUUCUUUUGCAGGGGAAUAAAGUGCAGGACGUGUCCUGUUUUGUAUGUACCCUGAGAAUAAGGAUCGGCUAACUCCGUGCCAGCAGCCGCGGUAAUACGGAGGAUCCGAGCGUUAUCCGGAUUUAUUGGGUUUAAAGGGUGCGUAGGUGGUUUGAUAAGUCAGCGGUGAAAGUUUGCAGCUUAACUGUAAAAAUGCCGUUGAAACUGUCGGACUUGAGUGUAAAUGAGGUAGGUGGAAUGCGUGGUGUAGCGGUGAAAUGCAUAGAUAUCACGCAGAACUCCGAUUGCGAAGGCAGCUUACUAAGCUACAACUGACACUGAAGCACGAAAGCGUGGGGAUCAAACAGGAUUAGAAACCCCGGUAGUCC
This 445-nucleotide ribosomal RNA is filed under the name uncultured bacterium. RNAcentral's name for it is "partial 16S ribosomal RNA". It matches the Rfam family "Bacterial small subunit ribosomal RNA", at positions 354 to 796 of the family's 1533-position model. The record is from RNAcentral.